GAUGAACGCUGGCGGCGUGCCUAAUACAUGCAAGUCGAGCGAACGGACGAGAAGCUUGCUUUUCUGAUGUUAGCGGCGGACGGGUGAGUAACACGUGGAUAACCUACCUAUAAGACUGGGAUAACUUCGGGAAACCGGAGCUAAUACCGGAUAAUAUUUUGAACCGCAUGGUUCAAAAGUGAAAGACGGUCUUGCUGUCACUUAUAGAUGGAUCCGCGCUGCAUUAGCUAGUUGGUAAGGUAACGGCUUACCAAGGCAACGAUGCAUAGCCGACCUGAGAGGGUGGUCGGCCACCCUGGAACUGAGACGCGGUCCAGACUCCUACGGGAGGCAGCAGUAGGGAAUCUUCCGCAAAGGGCGGAGGACUGACGGAGCAACGACGCGUGAGUGAUGAAGGUCUUCGGAUCGUAAAGCUCUGUUAUUAGGGAAGAAGAUAUGUGUAAGUAACUGUGCACAUCUUGACGGUACCUAGUCAGAAAGCCACGGCUAACUACGUG
This 497-nucleotide ribosomal RNA is filed under the name uncultured bacterium. RNAcentral's name for it is "partial 16S ribosomal RNA". It matches the Rfam family "Bacterial small subunit ribosomal RNA", at positions 28 to 507 of the family's 1533-position model. The record is from RNAcentral.